This 254-nucleotide ribosomal RNA is filed under the name uncultured prokaryote. RNAcentral describes it as "partial 16S ribosomal RNA". It matches the Rfam family "Bacterial small subunit ribosomal RNA", at positions 524 to 777 of the family's 1533-position model. The record is from RNAcentral.
UACGUAGGGUGCGAGCGUUAAUCGGAAUUACUGGGCGUAAAGCGUGCGCAGGCGGCGCCGCAAGUCAGGCGUGAAAUCCCCGAGCUUAACUUGGGAAUGGCGCUUGAAACUACGGUGCUGGAGUGUGGCAGAGGGAGGUGGAAUUCCACGUGUAGCGGUGAAAUGCGUAGAGAUGUGGAGGAACACCGAUGGCGAAGGCAGCCUCCUGGGCCAACACUGACGCUCAUGCACGAAAGCGUGGGGAGCAAACAGGA